RNAcentral lists this ribosomal RNA (274 nucleotides) under uncultured bacterium. Its description in RNAcentral is "partial 16S ribosomal RNA". It matches the Rfam family "Bacterial small subunit ribosomal RNA", at positions 523 to 796 of the family's 1533-position model. The record is from RNAcentral.
AUACGGAGGGUGCAAGCGUUACUUGGAAUCACUGGGCGUAAAGCGCGCGCAGGCGGUCUUUUAAGUUGGAUGUGAAAGCCUACGGCUCAACCGUAGAACUGCAUCCAAAACUAUUAGACUAGAGUGUGGGAGAGGAAGAUGGAAUUAGUUGUGUAGGGGUAAAAUCCGUAGAGAUAACUAGGAAUACCAAAAGCGAAGGCAAUCUUCUGGAACACUACUGACGCUGAGGCGCGAAAGCGUGGGGAGCAAACAGGAUUAGAAACCCUAGUAGUCC